Molecule: ribosomal RNA, 814 nt
Filed under: Nemertinoides sp. N2
Lineage: Eukaryota; Metazoa; Xenacoelomorpha; Nemertodermatida; Nemertodermatidae
Description: bacterial SSU rRNA
Rfam family: Eukaryotic small subunit ribosomal RNA
Source: RNAcentral
AAUCAGUCAUGGUUCCUUUGAGCGAUGAUCGUUACUUGGAUAACUCUGGUAAUUCUAGAGCUAAUACAUGCGCAAAGCGCUCUUCCGAGCGUGCUUUUAUUAGUACCAANACCAAUGCGGGCGCAAGCUCGCUCUGUCUGGUGAACUCUGAAUAACGGGGAGAUCGCACGGCCCUGCGCCGGCGACGCAUCUUUCAAGUGUCUGCCCUAUCAACUUUCGAUGGUAGGGUAUUGGCCUACCAUGGUUGUAACGGGUGACGGGGAAUUAGGGUUCGAUUCCGGAGAGGGAGCCUGAGAAACGGCUACCACAUCCAAGGAAGGCAGCAGGCACGCAAAUUACCCACUCCCGACACGGGGAGGUAGUGACGAAAAAUAACAAUGUUGGACUUUUUAAGCCCAGCAAUUGGAAUGAGUACACUUUAAAUCCUUUAACGAGGAUCAAUUGGAGGGCAAGUCUGGUGCCAGCAGCCGCGGUAAUUCCAGCUCCAAUAGCGUAUAUUAAAGUUGCUGCAGUUAAAAAGCUCGUAGUUGGAUCUCAGGGUCCGGGAUGAGGUCGCCCUCCGGGUGUAACUUUUGACCGGGCCCAGUAUCGACUUGCGGACCUCCCUCGGUGCGCUUGACUGUGUGCCGUGGGACGGGCCGUCGUGUUUACCUUGAAAAAAUUAGAGUGCUCAAAGCAGGCUUUCGCCUGGAUAGUUCAGCAUGGAAUAAUGGAAUAGGACCUCGGUCCCGUUCUGUUGGUCUCCAGGACACGAGGUAAUGAUUAAGAGGGACAGACGGGGGCAUUCGUACUGCGGCGCUAGAGGUGAAAUUCU